RNAcentral lists this ribosomal RNA (329 nucleotides) under uncultured eukaryote. Its description in RNAcentral is "partial 18S ribosomal RNA". It matches the Rfam family "Eukaryotic small subunit ribosomal RNA", at positions 1470 to 1796 of the family's 1831-position model. The record is from RNAcentral.
CCCUUAGAUGUUCUGGGCCGCACGCGCGCUACACUGAUGCAUUCAACGAGUCUAAAACCUGCUCUGAUAGGGGUGGGUAAUCUUUUGAAUGUGCAUCGUGAUUGGGAUAGAUGAUUGCAAUUUUUCAUCUCCAACGAGGAAUGCCUAGUAAACGCAAGUCAUCAGCUUGCAUUGAUUACGUCCCUGCCCUUUGUACACACCGCCCGUCGCUCCUACCGAUUGAAUGAUCCGAUGAAUAUCAUGGAUUGAGGAUGCAAGCAGGUUCGCCUGUCUUCAUCUUCGAGAAGUGAAGUAAAUCUUAUCAUUUAGAGGAAGGAGAAGUCGUAACA